CACAAUCCUCUCUCCGUUCAUAAUGGCUCGCGAGAUCCAUCUGCAAGAGCAUCUCGGCAGAUCCACACAAUCUUCCUGCGCCGCCGCAGCCGCUCGAUUCCGUCGCUUCUUUUUCUCUCUGCAGCGGCCGUUGAGAUGAGAUUACCCCAUACCCUGUAGCGGCAGCUCGACUCCGUGCAUGCGUAGGGGGCAAUCUCACCUCAACAGCUGCUCCCAGUGAGCUUUUACCUUUACGGUGGGCCGCUUGGUGGUAACGCCCUCUCCUCCUGCUGGCGGAGAUGUUUCAUGUUUGGGCAUGUUUUCCUCUCUGGAGGGUGCUUCCUCAUCUUGCUGGAGACGAGACGAAGCAGCUGCCCAUGGAGCAGGUCUGGAGGAGGCACUUCUCCUAGGAAUAUGAGACAAACUUCAGCAUGAACUACAACCGCUUGUCCACCGUCCCUGAUAUUUCUCUGUGGACGGUACACCUAAAAUAACUUAAUAAGUUGGUAUUUGGAGUGCCAGAAAGUAAUAAUAUGAGUAGUUAUUUUUUUGAA
Long non-coding RNA from Triticum aestivum (bread wheat), 533 nucleotides. RefSeq lists it as uncharacterized. The transcript is spliced from 2 exons. The record is from RefSeq and is a predicted model, not a curated record. Lineage: Eukaryota; Viridiplantae; Streptophyta; Magnoliopsida; Poales; Poaceae.